Brassica oleracea var. oleracea is the source of this 126-nucleotide microRNA precursor. It matches the Rfam family "MIR9563 microRNA precursor family". Lineage: Eukaryota; Viridiplantae; Streptophyta; Magnoliopsida; Brassicales; Brassicaceae. The record is from Rfam.
GGAAUAUAAGAAUCCGUCUCUUAAUUUUUAACUAAAAAAAGGUAAGAAUCGGUUCUUAAAUAAGAGUUUUAAGAGCCGGUUCUUAACUUUUUUAGUUAAAAGUUAAGAUACGGAUUCUUAUAUUCC